Molecule: long non-coding RNA, 447 nt
Filed under: Oryza sativa Indica Group (long-grained rice)
Lineage: Eukaryota; Viridiplantae; Streptophyta; Magnoliopsida; Poales; Poaceae
Also listed under: 2 other names
Description: lncRNA OsIR64_11g0012030
Source: RNAcentral
CGGUCUCGCCCUCCUCGCGAUCGACUCCCCUCGCCCCGACUCACCGCCGGUCUCCUCCCCUCCGCCACAGAUUCCUCCCUCCCUCCUCUUUGCAAUUCCACCAUCCUCUUUCCAGAGGGGCUCUCACCCUUGCUCCCUCCCCUAACCCUAAUCUCGCCCGCGCCCCCACCAGCUUCUACCGCUGACCGUCGCGCCGUGCCGCCCCGCCUCGCCCUCUUCAACCGCCGACCGUCCCGUCGCCCUGCAUCUUGCCCGCGCCGCCGCCGUCGUGUUAUCCCGCCACCGCAUGGAUCAGGCAAAAGGGUUGACGUGCUCCAGUGUAAGAAUUGCUUGAGACUCGGUUGUCAAGAGCGCUGCUUUGACGACUUCCUCCUCGGCCUCCGCCUCAACUGCCACCGCCGCCACUGCCGCGUCGUCCGACAAUAUUUGGUAAUGCACUUGAGGUGA